GAUGAACGCUGGCGGCGUGCCUAAUACAUGCAAGUCGAGCGAACGGACGAGAAGCUUGCUUCUCUGAUGUUAGCGGCGGACGGGUGAGUAACACGUGGAUAACCUACCUAUAAGACUGGGAUAACUUCGGGAAACCGGCGCUAAUACCGCCGGAUAUUUUGAACCGCAUGGUUCAACAGUGAAAGACGGUCUUGCUGGCACUUAUAGAUGUAUCCGCGCUGCAUUAGCUAGUUGGUAAGGUAACGGCUUACCAAGGCAACGAUGCAUAGCCGACCUGAGAGGGUGAUCGGCCACACUGGAACUGAGACACGGUCCAGACUCCUACGGGAGGCAGCAGUAGGGAAUCUUCCGCAAUGGGCGAAAGCCUGACGGAGCAACGCCGCGUGAGUGAUGAAGGUCUUCGGAUCGUAAAACUCUGUUAUUAGGGAAGAACAUAUGUGUAAGUAACUGUGCACAUCUUGACGGUACCUAAUCAGAAAGCCACGGCUAACUACGUG
Molecule: ribosomal RNA, 497 nt
Filed under: uncultured bacterium
Lineage: Bacteria
Description: partial 16S ribosomal RNA
Rfam family: Bacterial small subunit ribosomal RNA
Source: RNAcentral